Molecule: non-coding RNA, 467 nt
Organism: Onychostoma macrolepis
Lineage: Eukaryota; Metazoa; Chordata; Actinopteri; Cypriniformes; Cyprinidae
Source: the annotation of a RefSeq genome assembly
CAAGAUGAAGAGUGCACUCUGUUUACUGCUGCUCUCAUUCAGCCUACAACGUAUAAAAUGUCAAAGUAUGGAGUCCAUUGAAAGCACAGCUGUGAAAAAGCCUGGAGAAACUCUGACUCUGUCCUGUAGAGGAUCUGGGUUCAGCUUUGGCUGCUGUAGCAUGCACUGGAUCAGACAACAAGCUGGAAAACCACUUGUGUGGAUGGGACGUGUUUCUAGUGGCGGCAGUGGCAAUGACUACUCUGAAUCCUUCAAAGGUCGAAUUGAAAUCACCAGAGAUAAUUCAAAGAGUAUGGCAUAUCUGAAACUAUCAGGCCUGACAGCAGAAGACUCAGCCAUGUAUUACUGUGCAAAGCAAGCACGGUGACACAAAGGUCUUGUACGGCUGAACAAAAACCACACUGACUGUUUCAUGUCUUGUUACUCAAAGUCAACAGGUGGCAGCAGAGAAUGAAAAAAAUCUAUAA